This 63-nucleotide ribosomal RNA is filed under the name Klebsiella quasipneumoniae. RNAcentral describes it as "23S rRNA. Bacterial LSU". Lineage: Bacteria; Pseudomonadati; Pseudomonadota; Gammaproteobacteria; Enterobacterales; Enterobacteriaceae. The record is from RNAcentral.
GGGUGUGUAAGCGCAGCGAUGCGUUGAGCUAACCGGUACUAAUGAACCGUGAGGCUUAACCUU